Molecule: non-coding RNA, 114 nt
Organism: Acanthosepion pharaonis
Lineage: Eukaryota; Metazoa; Mollusca; Cephalopoda; Sepiida; Sepiidae
Source: the annotation of a GenBank genome assembly
UUACGGCCAUAUCACGUUGAAAAACCGGUUCUCAUACGACCCCCGAAGUUAAGCAACGUCAAGCCUGGUCAGUUACCUAGAUGGGUUUCCCCAUAGGAAUACCAGGUGCUGUAA